RNAcentral lists this ribosomal RNA (375 nucleotides) under Paraplatypeza bicincta. Its description in RNAcentral is "partial 16S ribosomal RNA". Lineage: Eukaryota; Metazoa; Arthropoda; Insecta; Diptera; Platypezidae. The record is from RNAcentral.
GCAUAAUCAGUAGUCUUUUAAUUGAAGGCUCGUAUGAAUGGUUGGACGAAAUAUUAACUGUUUCAUUUAAAAUUUUUAUAGAAUUUUAUUUUUUAGUCAAAAAGCUAAAAUAUAAUUAAAAGACGAGAAGACCCUAUAAAUCUUGAUAUUUAUAAUAAUUUUAAUUAUAAAGAUUAAUUAAAUUAUAAUUAUUAAAAAUAUUUUAUUGGGGUGAUAUUAAAAUUUACAAAACUUUUAAUUAAUUUUAAACAUAAAUGUAUGAAUAUAUGAUCCAUUAAUAAUGAUUAAAAAUUUAAGUUACUUUAGGGAUAACAGCGUAAUUUUUUUGGAGAGUUCAUAUUGAUAAAAAAGAUUGCGACCUCGAUGUUGGAUUAA